RNAcentral lists this ribosomal RNA (498 nucleotides) under uncultured bacterium. Its description in RNAcentral is "bacterial SSU rRNA". It matches the Rfam family "Bacterial small subunit ribosomal RNA", at positions 25 to 518 of the family's 1533-position model. The record is from RNAcentral.
CAGGAUGAACGCUAGCGACAGGCCUAACACAUGCAAGUCAGGGGCAGCACAAGGAGCAAUCUGAGGUGGCGACCGGCGCACGGGUGAGUAACACGUAUGCAACCUGCCUGUAAGCGGGGAAUAACCCGUUGAAAGACGGACUAAUACCGCAUAAUACUAAAUUACUGCAUGGUAAUUUAUUUAAACAUUUAUGGCUUACAGAUGGGCAUGCGCAUGAUUAGCUAGUUGGAGAGGUAACGGCUCCCCAAGGCAACGAUCAUUAGGGGUUCUGAGAGGAAGGUCCCCCACACUGGUACUGAGACACGGACCAGACUCCUACGGGAGGCAGCAGUGAGGAAUAUUGGUCAAUGGACGAGAGUCUGAACCAGCCAAGUCGCGUGCAGGAAGAAUUGUCCUAUGGAUUGUAAACUGCUUUUGCAGGGGAAUAAAGUGCAUCACGUGUGAUGUUUUGUAUGUACUCUGCGAAUAAGGAUCGGCUAACUCCGUGCCAGCCGCCGC